RNAcentral lists this ribosomal RNA (335 nucleotides) under Pibocella sp. SL14. RNAcentral describes it as "partial 16S ribosomal RNA". Lineage: Bacteria; Pseudomonadati; Bacteroidota; Flavobacteriia; Flavobacteriales; Flavobacteriaceae. The record is from RNAcentral.
CCUUAUUCUUACAGUACCGUCAGUAGGGCACACGUGCCCCUUUUUCUUCCUGUAUAAAAGCAGUUUACUACCCAUAGGGCAUUCUUCCUGCACGCGGCAUGGCUGGAUCAGAGUCUCCUCCAUUGUCCAAUAUUCCUCACUGCUGCCUCCCGUAGGAGUCUGGUCCGUGUCUCAGUACCAGUGUGGGGGAUCCCCCUCUCAGGGCCCCUACCCAUCGUAGUCUUGGUAAGCCGUUACCUUACCAACAAACUAAUGGGACGCAUGGCCAUCUUCUACCGCCCGAAGGCUUUAACUAUAAUGUGAUGCCACAUAAUAGUACCACGGGGCAUUAAUCC